RNAcentral lists this ribosomal RNA (383 nucleotides) under uncultured bacterium. Its description in RNAcentral is "bacterial SSU rRNA". It matches the Rfam family "Bacterial small subunit ribosomal RNA", at positions 30 to 416 of the family's 1533-position model. The record is from RNAcentral.
AUUGAACGCUGGCGGCAUGCUUUACACAUGCAAGUCGAACGGGGCUGGGGGGCAACUCCAGUCAGUGGCGAACGGGUGAGUAAUACAUCGGAACGUACCUCGUAGUGGGGGAUAACUCGGCGAAAGCCGUGCUAAUACCGCAUAUGCUCUACGGAGGAAAGCAGGGGACCGUAACAGGCCUUGUGCUAUGGGAGCGGCCGAUGUCCGAUUAGCUAGUUGGUGAGGUAAGGCUCACCAAGGCGACGAUCGGUAGCUGGUCUGAGAGGAUGAUCAGCCACACUGGGACUGAGACACGGCCCAGACUCCUACGGGAGGCAGCAGUGGGGAAUUUUGGACAAUGGGGGCAACCCUGAUCCAGCCAUGCCGCGUGCGGGAAGAAGGCC